This 465-nucleotide ribosomal RNA is filed under the name uncultured bacterium. Its description in RNAcentral is "partial 16S ribosomal RNA". It matches the Rfam family "Bacterial small subunit ribosomal RNA", at positions 338 to 795 of the family's 1533-position model. The record is from RNAcentral.
CCUACGGGAGGCAGCAGUGGGGAAUAUUGCGCAAUGGGCGAAAGCCUGACGCAGCGACGCCGCGUGAGGGAUGAAGGUCUUCGGAUCGUAAACCUCUGUCAGCAGGGAAGAACGGUCACUGUGCUAAUCAGCCGUGAAUUGACGGUACCUGCAAAGGAAGCACCGGCUAACUCCGUGCCAGCAGCCGCGGUAAUACGGAGGGUGCGAGCGUUAAUCGGAAUUACUGGGCGUAAAGCGCACGUAGGCGGUAUGUCAAGUCAAGGGUGAAAUCCUCGGGCUCAACGUGGGAAGUGCCUUUGAAACUGGCAAACUGGAGUGUGUGAGAGGAUAGUGGAAGUCCAGGUGUAGGAGUGAAAUCCGUAGAUAUCUGGAGGAACAUCAGUGGCGAAGGCGACUAUCUGGCACAUAACUGACGCUGAGGAGCGAAAGCGUGGGUAGCAAACAGGAUUAGAUACCCGUGUAGUC